AUUGAACGCUGGCGGCAGGCCUAACACAUGCAAGUCGAACGAGUGGCGGACGGGUGAGUAAUGACUGGGAAUCUGCCCGAUGGAGGGGGUUAACUACCGGAAACGGUAGCUAAUACCGCAUACCAUCGGAUGUGCCCAGAUGGGAUUAGCUAGGAGGUGGGGCAACGGCUCACUUAGGCGACGAUCCCUAGUUGGGCUGAGAGGAUGACCAGCCACAUUGUAAUUGAGACACGGUCCAGACUCCUACGGGAGGCAGCAGUUGGGAAUAUGGCACAAUGGGCGCAAGCCUGAUGCAGCCAUGCCGCGUGUAUGAAGAAGGCCUUCGGGUUGUAAAGUACUGUCAGCGAGGAGGCGUUACUCGCAGAAGAAGCACCGGCUAACUCCGUGCCAGCCGCCGCGGUAAUUC
Molecule: ribosomal RNA, 406 nt
Filed under: uncultured bacterium
Lineage: Bacteria
Description: partial 16S ribosomal RNA
Rfam family: Bacterial small subunit ribosomal RNA
Source: RNAcentral